This 439-nucleotide ribosomal RNA is filed under the name uncultured bacterium. Its description in RNAcentral is "partial 16S ribosomal RNA". It matches the Rfam family "Bacterial small subunit ribosomal RNA", at positions 339 to 795 of the family's 1533-position model. The record is from RNAcentral.
CUACGGGACGCAGCAGUGAGGAAUAUUGCACAAUGGGGGGAACCCUGAUGCAGCAACGCCGCGUGGAGGAUGACGCAUUUCGGUGUGUAAACUCCUUUUAUAUGUCAAGAAAAUGACGGUAGCAUAUGAAUAAGCACCGGCUAACUCCGUGCCAGCAGCCGCGGUAAUACGGAGGGUGCAAGCGUUACUCGGAAUCACUGGGCGUAAAGGACGCGUAGGCGGGUUGGAAAGUCAGGUGUGAAAUCCUAUAGCUUAACUGUAGGACUGCACUUGAAACUUCUAAUCUAGGGUAUGGGAGGUGGAGAUGGAAUUAGUGGUGUAGGGGUAAAAUCCGUAGAUAUCACUAGGAAUACCUAAAGCGAAGGCGAUCUCCUGGAACAUUACUGACGCUAAGGCGUGAAAGCGUGGGGAGCAAACAGGAUUAGAUACCCCGGUAGUC